GCCGCGACCCCCGCCUCCUCCCCUGCCGCCGCCGCCUCCUGGGCCUCGCCCUCACCCUCUCCCCGCGACUCCCGCCUCCUCCCCUGAUGCCGCAUCUAGGGCCUCGCCCCCAGUCCUCCUUCUCCGCCAUCACCGAUUCGGCGGAGCUCGUGGUCGACCGGCGGUGAGCAUGGCCUCGAUCUGGAGAAGGAGAGGGCAGGAGUGUGGCCUCGAUCUGGAGAAGGGGAGCAGCCUCACACAUCUUCAGCCCUCUCAAUCAGGAGGACAUUCAGCUCAUGGCAGAUAUAGGAUUGGAUGUCUACAGAUUCUCAAUUGAGGUCAGAUCCCGUUUAACCCCCUUCCUGCCCUGAUUGCUUGUGCCAUGAUUUGCUCCGUGUUUGGAUGAGGAAGUAGACCAGCAGGAGGAAGAGAGGAUCUCGGGACGCGCUCCUUAUUGGACUCACUGUAGUAUAAAUAGCUCAUGGCAGCUAUGGGAUUGGAUGCCUACAGAUUCUCAAUUGCAUGGUCUCGGAUUCUCCCAAAUGGCACCGGUGAGGUCAACCACGCAGGCAUCGACCACUACAACAAGGUCAUUGAUGCACUCUUAGCAAAAGGUGAGCUUUUGUACACUCUAACGUUUCUGUUGCAGGCAGAGCAGAAUGAAGAGAUGGGGAUGUUGUUGGAUGUGAUAUGGUAUGAGCCUGUCUCAAACUCCACAGCUGAUGUUGAGUCUGCUAAGAGAGCACAAGAGUUCCAGUUGGGAUGAAGAUGAUGGUUCUUCUUCUCCUAUUAGAGUACCACUGCCUCACCAGGAUUGGUGUUGAACAUAAUAAGCCAAGUUCUUGCUGGGUAGAGCAUGAACCACCAGGGGACGGUGCCAGUCGGGUGUUGCGGAGGGAUUUCUUCUGGAGCUUGGCGUGGUGCCCUUUUGUGAUUUGUUUUCUUUUGUGCUGCUUGAAGUGGUACUCUAACGUUUAACUUUGUUAUGAAAUUACAAGUUAGUUACUUUUAAGUCAAGUAUACAUAUUAACUGAAGCACAUCUGAAUGUUAUUUUAUCUUACUUGGCAUAAUAGUGGCAGUGGUUCUGAAGCCUACCCAAACUAUGAAUCAGUAUGGUAAUUCUAACAUGUGGUGCUCUAAUAUUCACUUAUUCAGUUGUGUUCUGGAAUGACCUCUUUCUGCUUCCUAUUGUAAGCUUUCUUUGUUUCGUUUGUCUGCUGUUUUCUUCCUUCUAUAUUUUUCUUUCUUUCUUUGGUGCUGGCGGCCAAAUCCAGAGGCUAAUUUGUUUCCUUUCAAGGAGGAAGUAAUAUAUGAGUUUUCUUUUCACUUCCUUGCUCUUGCUUAAAUACAAUAUCUUGUUUAUCGACAAACGAAUCAACUGAGAUUCGCUUUUGUUCUGCAAAUGGGAUUCCAAUCAAAUUUUAGUUUAACAUUUUCUAGACCGACAUUUUUCCUCAAAAUAUUCUUGGCUGCUUUGGUUGUAAGCAUACUGAAGGUAGUAUUCCAUUGUCACUGACAUUUUACAGUUAAAUGUAUUUCUAAUUAAGUUUCUACAGAAAUAUGGUUGUCGAGUAGCAUCAUUGAUUUAUUAUAAGGUACUUAUUGCUGUUAGUGUCCCUUUCUGCAUGCUGAUGGGAUAGUCAAUUGGGUUCAUCAUGAUGGAUGUUUACGGUACCAUAAUUGUUGGAUGCCCUUUUUUUAUCAAGUGGUUAUAAAUUCUGUCAAACCCAUGUCUUUACGUGAUUUUCUAACAUGGAAGUAGUCACUUCCUGGAUAUCGGAGUAUGUACAUAGAACUGAACUGCUUAUCGCCCCAUGUUUUGCUAGAGAAAAAUCAAGCACGAGACAUGUGUUAGGAUGAUGGAUUUCAUAUUAAAAAGAAGGAUGUAAUAUAUGAGCACUUGGAAUGCAGUAGAAAUAUGUUUAUAGUAGUGUAAUUGUAGGGUUCCUGAUUUGUGGUGCAUAGACCACCUGGAUUAAUUAGCUUUUGUAGUUCCUGUAUUUUAUUUCUUGCUACAUUUUUCUGGGUCAUUUCAAAAUUUCUGCUCUACACAGAAUCUUAAGAAGUUUGGGUAUGCACACAGGUCCUAAAAAUAAUGAGCUGUUUAGUGCAAUGCAUGUGACCUGAUUACUUCUUUUCUUUUCUUUUUUACAUUGUACGUUCUUGGAGGUCGCCUUUUCUCUCUUCUGUUGAUCAAGUUUUCUUCUUCUUUCUUCUGCUUAUUAGGGUUUCUUCCUUUCCUUUUUUUUGGAAAUUGCAUUUAUUGUGUGACCUAUGUAUUGUCAUUAUUCUUGCUUCAUUGGUCGUGUUUAUAUUCUGGGUUUGGCUCGACAUUGUGUUUUCUUUUGCCUCAUGCCAUUCAUAUUUUGUGAUUGCGUGUGUAUCAAGGUGUGCUUUGCCUGCUUUUUGAAGCUUGUGUGAAUUGACCAUGGUCUGUUCUUGUUGGGAUAAAGCCUGAACUGCCAGGUACACUUUGCUUAUUGUCCUUAUUCUGGUUCUCCUUGGCAUCUUUCUAUCAGUGGAGAUCCUUGUUUUCAAAUAGCAGGGAUAGAGGGACAGAAAAGUUAUAUCUGUCGCGGCGCUGCAAGUGUUGCCCCCCUCCUCCCCAAGGGCAAGGUGAAGGAAGGUGCAUGUGUGGUUUUUCUGCAGCUCGCAGCGAGGAUUG
Non-coding RNA from Triticum urartu, 2645 nucleotides. NCBI's taxonomy places the organism in Eukaryota, Viridiplantae, Streptophyta, Magnoliopsida, Poales, Poaceae. The record is from RefSeq and is a predicted model, not a curated record.